AUGCAGAGCACGAAUUUAGAGUAUGGGUCGCUGUACUUGGCUAUCUCCACUUUCAGGAUUCAUGGAAGAGCCGGUAUUUCGCAGCAUGCUGUGAAAGCUUAGUUGGAUGCAGAUCCUGCACUACUUUGUGGCUUCAGAAUUCUUUACUGUGUUUGAAGUGUUGAACAGAUGAUUUUUCCACCAACAUUCACAGGGUGAAUGCACAAAUCUAUUCAUUCCAAUCUGGCACACCUGGCCAGUCAGAUUGGAUGUGCAGAACCUCGUCAGGCUGUCCUCCAUAUCAAUUGCUUCCCUGAUCUUGUAGCUGUACCAGGGCCUCUUUUAGUGGGUAAUUUAUCCGGUUGUUGAUUUCUGGCCACAUCCUUUCCACAGUGUGAUUCUGUAGUAAUAAUAAUAAAAGGUUGGAACAGGGAAGCUUACACAUUUUGAAACUAGAGAAACAAACAAUUCAAGAGAGUAAUGUUGUGUGUGAUUGAAGAAAUACUCAGACCCAUUCAGUAAAAGCACCAACAUCAUGAUGUUGAAAUACACCAUCAUAAAACUGUACAGUAAAUAUUUUCUGAUAAAUGUAUUGGAAGUUCUAAAAUUUCAUGUUGGCCAUUUUUCAAGAGCAGUUACAUUUUCUAUUAGUUUGUCAUUACGCAUACUGCAGUGGAGUAUCAAGUAGCAGAACAUGUAAGUACAGGAACCUCAAACUUUUACUUAAAAGCAAUAAUUUGCCUAAUAUAUUACUUUUCAUGACUGGUAUAUGCAUUGUUUGAUGGCUUGCAGACUAAUAACCUUACCCUUGUUAACUGAGUUUGUAGGUAUGGCGCUCUCUGCUGGUUGUGUCUAUAUUUUGACAGCCUCUCUUGCAUGUACAGACAGAGGUAAAACUCUUUGCCAUAAAUCACACAAAGUAUUUCGUAUUGCUUUGUAAAGAAAGUAACCUAUCCUACAGAAAAGCAUUAAAACUGCUAGAUCUCUUUCUGUCUCUUUUAGAAGAAAACAAACAUAAUUCCAGGUAUUUAUUCAAUACAGUGGCUAAAUUAACGAAAAAUAAAGCAUCAACAAGUGUUGACAUUUCCCAACAUCACAGCAGUAAUGACUUUAUGAACUACUUUACUUCUAAAAUCGAUACUAUUAGAGAUAAAAUUGUAACCAUGCAGCCGUCAGCUACAGUAUCACAUCAGAC
Molecule: long non-coding RNA, 1174 nt
Organism: Cyprinus carpio carpio
Lineage: Eukaryota; Metazoa; Chordata; Actinopteri; Cypriniformes; Cyprinidae
Source: Ensembl